RNAcentral lists this unclassified non-coding RNA (254 nucleotides) under uncultured Patescibacteria group bacterium. Its description in RNAcentral is "contains 16S-23S intergenic spacer region". It matches the Rfam family "Bacterial small subunit ribosomal RNA", at positions 524 to 776 of the family's 1533-position model. The record is from RNAcentral.
UACGUAGGGCCCAAGCGCUAUCCGGAAUCACUGGGCGUAAAGCGUGUGUAGGCGGAGUUUUAAGUGAGAUGCGAAAUCCUGCGGCUCAACCGUAUGGACUGUAUCUCAUACUGGAAUUCUAGAGGUUGGCAGAGGCAAGUGGAAUUUGCGGUGUAGGAGUGAAAUCCGUAGAUAUCGCAAGGAACACCAAUGGCGAAGGCAGCUUGCUGGGCCACACCUGACGCUGAGACACGAAAGCGUGGGGAGCGAACAGG